RNAcentral lists this ribosomal RNA (491 nucleotides) under uncultured bacterium. RNAcentral describes it as "partial 16S ribosomal RNA". It matches the Rfam family "Bacterial small subunit ribosomal RNA", at positions 29 to 507 of the family's 1533-position model. The record is from RNAcentral.
AGUGAACGCUGCGGUAGGCCUAACACAUGCAAGUCGAACGGCAGCACAGUAAGAGCUUGCUCUUACGGGUGGCGAGUGGCGGACGGGUGAGGAAUACAUCGGAAUCUACUUUUUCGUGGGGGAUAACGUAGGGAAACUUACGCUAAUACCGCAUACGACCUACGGGUGAAAGCAGGGGAUCUUCGGACCUUGCGCGAUUGAAUGAGCCGAUGUCGGAUUAGCUAGUUGGCGGGGUAAAGGCCCACCAAGGCGACGAUCCGUAGCUGGUCUGAGAGGAUGAUCAGCCACACUGGAACUGAGACACGGUCCAGACUUCUACGGGAGGCAGCAGUGGGGAAUAUUGGACAAUGGGCGCAAGCCUGAUCCAGCCAUACCGCGUGGGUGAAGAAGGCCUUCGGGUUGUAAAGCCCUUUUGUUGGGAAAGAAAAGCAGCAGGUUAAUACCCCGCUGUUCUGACGGUACCCAAAGAAUAAGCACCGGCUAACUUCGUG